Molecule: ribosomal RNA, 492 nt
Filed under: uncultured bacterium
Lineage: Bacteria
Description: partial 16S ribosomal RNA
Rfam family: Bacterial small subunit ribosomal RNA
Source: RNAcentral
AGUGAACGCUGGCGGCAGGCCUAACACAUGCAAGUCGAACGGCAGCACAGUAAGAGCUUGCUCUUACGGGUGGCGAGUGGCGGACGGGUGAGGAAUACAUCGGAAUCUACUUUUUCGUGGGGGAUAACGUAGGGAAACUUACGCUAAUACCGCAUACGACCUACGGGUGAAAGCAGGGGAUCUUCGGACCUUGCGCGAUUGAAUGAGCCGAUGUCGGAUUAGCUAGUUGGCGGGGUAAAGGCCCACCAAGGCGACGAUCCGUAGCUGGUCUGAGAGGAUGAUCAGCCACACUGGAACUGAGACACGGUCCAGACUCCUACGGGAGGCAGCAGUGGGGAAUAUUGGACAAUGGGCGCAAGCCUGAUCCAGCCAUACCGCGUGGGUGAAGAAGGCCUUCGGGUUGUAAAGCCCUUUUGUUGGGAAAGAAAAGCAGCAGGUUAAUACCCCGCCGUUCUGACGGUACCCAAAGAAUAAGCACCGGCUAACUUCGUG